UACGUAGGGGGCAAGCGUGGUCCGGAUUUAUUGGGCGUAAAGAGCGUGUAGGCGGCCAGACAGGUCCGUUGUGAAAACUCGAGGCUCAACCUCGAGCUGUCGGUGGAAACUGUCUGGCUAGAGUCCGGAAGAGGAGAGUGGAAUUCCUGGUGUAGCGGUGAAAUGCGCAGAUAUCAGGAAGAACACCUAUGGCGAAGGCAGCUCUCUGGGACGGUACUGACGCUGAGACGCGAAAGCGUGGGGAGCGAACAGG
This 253-nucleotide ribosomal RNA is filed under the name uncultured bacterium. RNAcentral's name for it is "partial 16S ribosomal RNA". It matches the Rfam family "Bacterial small subunit ribosomal RNA", at positions 524 to 776 of the family's 1533-position model. The record is from RNAcentral.